RNAcentral lists this ribosomal RNA (465 nucleotides) under uncultured Klebsiella sp. RNAcentral describes it as "bacterial SSU rRNA". It matches the Rfam family "Bacterial small subunit ribosomal RNA", at positions 338 to 795 of the family's 1533-position model. The record is from RNAcentral. Lineage: Bacteria; Pseudomonadati; Pseudomonadota; Gammaproteobacteria; Enterobacterales; Enterobacteriaceae.
CCUACGGGAGGCUGCAGUGGGGAAUAUUGCACAAUGGGCGCAAGCCUGAUGCAGCCAUGCCGCGUGUGUGAAGAAGGCUUUCGGGUUGUAAAGCACUUUCAGCGGGGAGGAAGGCGGUGAGGUUAAUAACCUCAUCGAUUGACGUUACCCGCAGAAGAAGCACCGGCUAACUCCGUGCCAGCAGCCGCGGUAGUACGGAGGGUGCAAGCGUUAAUCGGAAUUACUGGGCGUAAAGCGCACGCAGGCGGUCUGUCAAGUCGGAUGUGAAAUCCCCGGGCUCAACCUGGGAACUGCAUUCGAAACUGGCAGGCUAGAGUCUUGUAGAGGGGGGUAGAAUUCCAGGUGUAGCGGUGAAAUGCGUAGAGAUCUGGAGGAAUACCGGUGGCGAAGGCGGCCCCCUGGACAAAGACUGACGCUCAGGUGCGAAAGCGUGGGGAGCAAACAGGAUUAGAUACCCCAGUAGUC